RNAcentral lists this ribosomal RNA (328 nucleotides) under uncultured bacterium. RNAcentral describes it as "bacterial SSU rRNA". It matches the Rfam family "Bacterial small subunit ribosomal RNA", at positions 30 to 355 of the family's 1533-position model. The record is from RNAcentral.
AUUGAACGCUGGCGGCAUGCUUUACACAUGCAAGUCGAACGGCAGCACGGGGGCAACCCUGGUGGCGAGUGGCGAACGGGUGAGUAAUACAUAGGAACGUAUCCUGAAAUGGGGGAUAGCUCGGCGAAAGCCGGAUUAAUACCGCAUACGAUCCACGGAUGAAAGCAGGGGAUUCGCAAGAACCUUGCGUUUCUGGAGCGGCCUAUGUCUGAUUAGCUAGUUGGCGGGGUAAAAGACCCACCAAGGCGACGAUCAGUAGCUGGUCUGAGAGGAUGAUCAGCCACACUGGGACUGAGACACGGCCCAGACUCCUACGGGAGGCAGCAGU